GACGAACGCUGGCGGCGUGCUUAACACAUGCAAGUCGAACGGAAAGGCCCUGCUUUUGUGGGGUGCUCGAGUGGCGAACGGGUGAGUAACACGUGAGUAACCUGCCCUUGACUUUGGGAUAACUUCAGGAAACUGGGGCUAAUACCGGAUAGGAGCUCCUGCUGCAUGGUGGGGGUCGGAAAGUUUCGGCGGUUGGGGAUGGACUCGCGGCUUAUCAGCUUGUUGGUGGGGUAGCGGCUUACCAAGGCUUUGACGGGUAGCCGGCCUGAGAGGGUGACCGGCCACAUUGGGACUGAGAUACGGCCCAGACUCCUACGGGAGGCAGCAGUGGGGAAUAUUGCACAAUGGGCGGAAGCCUGAUGCAGCAACGCCGCGUGCGGGAUGACGGCCUUCGGGUUGUAAACCGCUUUCGCCUGUGACGAAGCGUGAGUGACGGUAAUGGGUAAAGAAGCACCGGCUAACUACGUG
This 468-nucleotide ribosomal RNA is filed under the name uncultured bacterium. Its description in RNAcentral is "partial 16S ribosomal RNA". It matches the Rfam family "Bacterial small subunit ribosomal RNA", at positions 28 to 507 of the family's 1533-position model. The record is from RNAcentral.